Molecule: ribosomal RNA, 318 nt
Filed under: Triticum aestivum (bread wheat)
Lineage: Eukaryota; Viridiplantae; Streptophyta; Magnoliopsida; Poales; Poaceae
Description: partial small subunit ribosomal RNA
Source: RNAcentral
AUGGCUCCAGUAGCAGCACGACGGCGUGGUGUUGAUGGAGCUGCAGUACUCCGGCAGGGCUUCGCCAAGCACUAUGGAGGAGGAGGAGGUGUUGGAGAGGGAGAGGGAGGCACCAAAGAUCAAGGUAAGAAGUCCUCCAUCUCCCCACUAUAUAUAGGAGGGCCAAGGGGGGGGGGCGCCGGCCCUAGGAGAUCUAAUCUCCUAGGGGGGUGCGGCCAAGGGGAGGAAUCCCUCCUCCCCAAGGCACCUAGGGGUGCCUUCCCCCUUUGGGACUCUUCCCUCCUUGAAACCCUAGGCGCAUGGGCCUCUUGGGGCUAG